Molecule: ribosomal RNA, 585 nt
Filed under: uncultured bacterium
Lineage: Bacteria
Description: partial 16S ribosomal RNA
Rfam family: Bacterial small subunit ribosomal RNA
Source: RNAcentral
UGGGGAAUUUUGGACAAUGGGCGAAAGCCUGAUCCAGCAAUGCCGCGUGUGUGAAGAAGGCCUUCGGGUUGUAAAGCACUUUUGUCCGGAAAGAAAUCCUUGGCUCUAAUACAGUCGGGGGAUGACGGUACCGGAAGAAUAAGCACCGGCUAACUACGUGCCAGCAGCCGCGGUAAUACGUAGGGUGCAAGCGUUAAUCGGAAUUACUGGGCGUAAAGCGUGCGCAGGCGGUUUGCUAAGACCGAUGUGAAAUCCCCGGGCUCAACCUGGGAACUGCAUUGGUGACUGGCAGGCUAGAGUAUGGCAGAGGGGGGUAGAAUUCCACGUGUAGCAGUGAAAUGCGUAGAGAUGUGGAGGAAUACCGAUGGCGAAGGCAGCCCCUGGGCCAAUACUGACGCUCAUGCACGAAAGCGUGGGGAGCAAAACAGGAUUAGAUACCCUGGUAGUCCACGCCCUAAAACGAUGUCAACUAGUUGUUGGGGAUUCAUUUCCUUAGUAACGUAGCUAACGCGUGAAGUUGACCGCCUGGGGAGUACGGUCGCAAGAUUAAAACUUAAAGGAAUUGACGGGGUCAUAGCUGUUUCC